RNAcentral lists this microRNA precursor (92 nucleotides) under Cavia porcellus (domestic guinea pig). Its description in RNAcentral is "miRNA (ENSCPOG00000032820.1)". The record is from RNAcentral. Lineage: Eukaryota; Metazoa; Chordata; Mammalia; Rodentia; Caviidae.
GAGAUAAAUUAUGUACAGCUACAAGGUCCCUGUAAUAAAAGUGAUCAUUGUGUGUAUGUGUGUGUGUGUGUAUAUAUAUAUAUAUAUAUAUA